This 406-nucleotide ribosomal RNA is filed under the name uncultured bacterium. Its description in RNAcentral is "partial 16S ribosomal RNA". It matches the Rfam family "Bacterial small subunit ribosomal RNA", at positions 30 to 526 of the family's 1533-position model. The record is from RNAcentral.
AUUGAACGCUGGCGGCAGGCCUAACACAUGCAAGUCGAACGAGUGGCGGACGGGUGAGUAAUGUUUGGGAAACUACCUUAUGGAGGGGGAUAACUACUGGACACGGUAGCUAAUACCGCAUACCAUCGGAUGUGCCCAGAUGGGAUUAGCUAGUUGGUGGGGUAAAGGCUCACCUAGGCGACGAUCCCUAGCUGGUCUGAGAGGAUGACCAGCCACACUGGAACUGGGACACGGUCCAGACUCCUACGGGAGGCAGCAGUGGGGAAUAAUGCAGAAUGGGCGCAAGCCUGACGCAGCAAUUCCGCGUGAAUGAAGAAGGCCUUCGGGUUGUAAAGUACUUUCGGCGGGGAGGCGUUACCCGCAGAAGAAGCACCGGCUAACUCCGUGCCAGCAGCCGCGGUAAUUC